ACGCAACCUUAAUCGUAAUGCUGACAUUAAUGUUACCACCGCAUCGAGGAUACGUUGUAUUUCUAUGCACAACGUUACCAACUAAGCCUACUCAUCAUUAAACUUGGCGCUGCCGUAAGCUAGAUGGCUACUAGCCAGCAGCUAGCUAGCUAAUAACACCUAAGUUCGUCAACGUUGCUGCUAAACUCGACAUAUUCGUCCUGUCUUGGCAUGGACGACCACUGGCUCACAACAUGCAUGACUCCACUUCUCUUGGCUUUUGACAGAGGGCGUGUUGGAGCCAACAUGGGGGAGUGUCCACACCAACAUUGGUCUUUACAUGCAGUUGGGAUCCGGACUCAAGUUUCACUAAGCAUAACCCUUAGACGCAUAUAAGCUACGGUAGCAGCUUCUACAUGUUACGAAGGAGCCACGGACACUGAGGGUGAAGCUACAGAGGCAUUUUGACUCAAAUGUGUAAAUUGGCCAUUAGUGUCUUGAGUAAUGGACUACCUCACAAGCAGACCACAGUUUGCCAGGCUGCAGGGAUGUCUGUCUGAGGGGACAAUCUUCUUUCCUUUUCUGUUCACCUUUUACACUGCAGACUUCAGAUACAGCUUGGGAUCUUGUCACCUGCAGAAGUUCUUUGAUUCCUCUGCCAUUGUCAGCUGCAUCAGUGAGAGGUGGGACCCACAGGUCAUUGUUUUGCCAGUCACAAGUAAGCCUCAAGUUCUGCCAUUUUAGUCGAAGUCAGGUCCCAAGUCUUGAACUUUGACAUUUGAGUCUGUUUGAGUCAAAGUGAAGUCCAAGACAUGCGACUCAAGUCCACACCUAUACCGUCUUCUAUCCAACAUCCAUAUCGGUACCGGUGGACAUUGGCACCGACCUACAAGUACCUAGUGGGAACAUCAAGAACAAGCUGGACUGAACAGACAAUACUUACCUACACGAAAAAGCUGAGAAUUGUCUCUACCCCCUAAAGGUCUGAGGUCUUUUCUGAGGUCUCAGUGAUAUACCAGAGGCCUUGCAGUAGGAGAUAGAAAAGACUGAGCAAAUUAAUGAGGAGGGUGAGCUCAGUCCACGGAUAGACCCUGAAAGGUGAUAGAAGGAUGAUGGAGAAAGCAGCAGUCAUUGUGGAAUCCAUUCAUAAAGUCCUGGCUGCCGUGCGCAGCUCCUUCACCAGACUGAUACCCACUACGCACAAAGAAACACAGCUCUUUUGUCCCUGUAGUCAUAAGGCUAUUCAGCCAGUCCCAGUCCCUCACCAUGGACUACUUUGUUCCACAUCUGCAUAUUCCAUGACAUGCUACAUAUUCAGUUAUGGUUCCACUGGUAUAGUACUUUUACCACUGUAUUUUCAUGCUUUGUGACUGCUGUUAUUUAUUGUGUUUUAUUACUGUGUAUACAGUGUCUUCUUCCUCCUUUCCUUUUACUGUCAUGUUUAAGUUUUACUGCUGCUGCCAUAACAG
Molecule: long non-coding RNA, 1448 nt
Organism: Myripristis murdjan (pinecone soldierfish)
Lineage: Eukaryota; Metazoa; Chordata; Actinopteri; Holocentriformes; Holocentridae
Exons: 3
Source: RefSeq, a predicted model, not a curated record